AAAAAAAAUUUUUUUUAAAAAGCAAAAAACAAAAAGAGUUUAAAAAAAUUCUAUUCAUUUGCCAAAAAAAAAAAAAAAAAAGAAAGGAAAAAGAGAUACCUCAAGAAUAUACACAGUAUAGGGGCGCCUGGGUGGCGCAGUCGGUUAAGCGUCCGACUUCAGCCAGGUCACGAUCUCACGGUCCAUGAGUUCAAGCCCCGAGUCGGGCUCUGGGCUGAUGGCUCAGAGCCUGGAGCCUGUUUCCGAUUCUGUGUCUCCCUCUCUCUCUGCCCCUCCCUCGUUCAUACUCUGUCUCUCUCUGUCCCAAAAAUAAAUAAACGUUGAAAAAAAAAUUAAAAAAAAAAAAGAAUAUACACAGUAUAUUAACAAUGGUUCUGAGUGAUAGGCUCAUGGGUCAUUUUGUUCACUCCACUCCAGUAACUUUCUUUAUGCUUUCUAAAUUUUCUGCAAUUAGUAUAUAUUACGCUGCUUUGGCAGGAGAAAAUUAUCUAAAAAAUUGCUAAGCAAAGAAAACACUAAAAUAAGGAGUCUCUUGAGGAAGGACAGAAAGGGACAGCGGUCACCGAGGGUCACUUUUGCCAGGUCCGAGGGAGCCACGGGGAGCUGGGGGUGAAGGCGGUCACCACCAUCCAUAGAGCACAGGGGAAACUGACCAGAAGGCUCCCUCUCUCCACACAGGGACCAUGACUUCUGGGAAACAGCCACCCCUCCCUGAGGGCCGGCAAUCCUUUCCGCCUCUGAACACCCUGACUUGUGCCAACAAGAGAAUGCCUAUCUUCUAAGACAAGUUUGCAGACGGUCUGGAUCUGGGAUGAGGCGUUGAGUAUCCUGUAGGCAGAGCUAAUUUUUUUGACCUAACGCUCGGAGAUCCCCCGCCCGCCCCCGGUAUCAAAUCUCUGACUCAAAUUCAUCCCCAAGAUCAUCACACGCUAUCUUUAAGCCUAGUCUUAGAGCAAAUUUUAAUGUUUCAUAGCUCUUCGGUAACGUCCCUGAAUGUGGCAUGAAGGGUAAAGGUUUGUAGGCGCGACACUUGGAGCUUUGACACCCAAAUCGAGCGCCCUUUUUUCUUUUUUUUUUUUUUUCCUUCAGUUGGGCAAACCCUCGAGUAUAUUUUCCUCAACGUGAAGACAGAGCACUGGAAACAGAAAAGGUGUUUUAAUGUGAGUGCUGUUUUCACACGAGGAAAUCCAACCUACCGCAAAACCAAGCUCGUGAAAGGGGAGAAAAAACGGAUUCAGGAAGUGAAAUGAUGUCCAGUGUUAUGCUAACUGAAUAUCAAAAUAAUAAACACCAAAGGCACACAGGCCAGAAGGAACAGGUAAUAAAUCAAAAUCCUUGGGGGAAUGGGACCUCAUUAGGCUUGAAAGAGGGACCAGUGUUGCCCAAACUGGUUGUUAGCACAAGGCCCUCACUACCUCCCUCCUUUUCUUCUUCCUCUUUAAAAAAAAAAUUGGGACCAAGGCCAUGUCUUUUAAGACGUCAUAUAACUCCUUUCCUUAUUGUACAUGCCACAGCAAGUUGCCAUCAGCUGUUAUUUGUUAUUGAGGAUCUGUGUAAACACGGAGGCCAGGAGACUGACUCACCCAUCAGAACAGGAAGAGAAAGGAUGUGAUCACACUGUUACUUUCAACCGCCUUCGUGUUAGCAUUGUCCAUUACAGAAGAGACGGCAGUCGACAUUCCCUAACGUCCUAACGUGAAGCGUUUGAGCCCAUCGGGAAGCAAAUUCUAGAAUGGAACAAUGUAGCCGCAGGUUACCAGGGUGGGCUCGCAAACUCAGGUUUGGGCACCUACCUGUGCCCGGUAUGGCAGUAGAGUGAUUCUGCCACCAGCAGAAGAGCCCUGCGGGGCUACCUGGGGACACGAGGACCCUGCACAUCCUUCGGUGGAACAGCGCAACCAGCAGGAAAGGCUGCUACGCUAGGAAUCCUUGAAUAUGUGGGCUGACGGCUUGGUGUGUAUGAUGCGGGAAUGGGACACACAGGGAAUUCUGUUUUCCAGCCCCACUGGGUGUGUCCACAGCCCCGUGGAGCCAGGAAGGGAAGAAUCGCCGCAGGACAUUGCGGUCUGCAGGAAGGCAGUUCCUUUUGUUGUCAAAAAGCAGCACGUCCUGGGGCGCCUGGGUGGCUCGGUCGGUGAGGCGUCCACUCUUGACUUGGGCUCAGGUCAUGAUCCCACGUUUCGUGGGUUCGAGCCCCAUACCUGUCAGUGCAGAGCCUGCUUGGGGUUCUCUCUCUGCCCCUCCCCCACCUGCAAGCUCUCUGUCUCAAAAUAAAUAAAUGAACAUGAGAAAAAGGCAGCACAUCCUCCCCUCUGCCCAGAUUCCACGACUCCCCUGUAGGGUGGGUAAAUCUGAUUCUUUAAGCGCUGCCCCCCGCCCCCCAAUGCCAAGUACCCUGGAAGUCCUUCAAAUACCGGCUGGAAGUGGCUGAAGACACGUUGACACCUCAAGGGCCUGGGAAUUAAUUUACUAAGGCUAAUUUACAGUCACUCGUUCCUCCCAGUGCACCCAGCUAGAGUCAGGUUGAGAAAAGAAUCAGAUGUUAACUGGACUCAUUGCAGUGAUCAUUUUGCAACACAUUUUGCAACACUUGGUUGAGCAUCCGACCUCGACUCAGGUCAUGAUCUCGCAGGUGACGAGUUCAAGCCCCACGUCGGGCUCUGUGCUGACAGCUCAGAGCCUGGAGCCGGCUUCCAAUUCUGUGUCUCCUCCUCCCUCUGCCCCUCCCCUGCUCACGCUCUGUCUCUCUCUGUCUCUCAGUAAUAAAUAAACAUUAGAAAAAAAAAUUCAAAUAUCGAACCACUAUUUUGUAUACCUGAAACUAAUGUAAUGUUGUCACUUACACCUCAAUAAAAAGAAGCAUUUAAAAAAAAGAGAAAAGAAUACUACUAUUUCAAUUGCAGCAAAUCAAUGUCCUAAGACCACUCGAGAAAGCAAGGGCAGGCAAGAAGAAUCACCAGAAAAGUCCAAGAAGGGCUUCUAACCAUGCUUAGUAUUGAAACUGCAAAAUUAGAAACACUUUUAAACUUUCUCUCUGAAAUAAACUAAACACGAAAAUCCAGUUGGAAAAUGUUUACACGGGCAGAUUCAUUACUCCAGUAUAGAUUAAUAGAUUAACCACUUCAAUGCCUCCAAAAUACUGAUCAUUUCUCACAUUCUUCAAAGCAUUAGACCUGUUUCUGCUUGCAGAAGCCAUACGUACUUUUUGAGCUGAGAGUCAGCUUGCCUGGGACUCAAAAUCUUCUUUCAACUAACUUUUGCAUUCUAUAAUUUUUACAAAAUUCCUGGCACUCCUCAGGCAAGGAUUUCACAGCGAUCACAAAUGGAAGUAGAAAAACAAAAAGAUAUUCUAAUUCAAGACUGAACCAUGAGAGAAAGGAAAAAUAUGCAAAUUUACUUCCUAUACAAAUAAGUCCUUUUGCCUUCCAACUCGGGGCUGAUUCUGGAUGAUAUCCCUUUCCUUCUUUGAUGUGCGCGAAAAGCUAUUUUUGUUUUGUUUUAAGAACAAAGGUAAUAUAAAUAGGAUAAGUUACAUCCAUCUAUCUGUAUCAUGCCAAAUCUGGACUAAACAAGUGCUGUGUUUCUAGAUACAGGGAAAAAUAUUUUAUCUAAAUGUCUAUUUUAUUUUUUACAUUACAGCUACUCAAACCCAGUCAGAAUUUUUCUUUGGGUAAAGGUCAUGGCUGGAUUUUCAGAGACUUCAAAUACAAAUGUUUGCUUGAAAGAACGGACAAAUGAAUGAAGAGAUACCACGUGCCGAAUUUCCCAAUGAAAAUGCGUCAGCAGCGAGAAAUUCUAAAUGCAUCACUGACCCUUUUCCUUCAUCAAGGGAGUGACCUGCGCUCUUUCUCGAAGGGGGCUGACUGAGACAAAGCAAAUACACUGGGAUGCUUCCAAAGUUAAUUUCAACCAUGGAUCAACUGUCACAAAGAUAUUUAAAUUUAUCCUAUUGUGGGGCACCUGGGUGGCUUAGUAGGUUGAUCCUCAGACUCUUGAUUCGAGCUCUUAUGAUCUCAAACUCUAGGGAUGGGCCCUGAGUCCGGCUCACUUAGUAUGGGUUCUCUCUCUGUCUCUCUCUUUCUCUCCCGCCCCUCCCCCAACAUGUGUUCUGUUUCUCUCCAAAAAAAUUAAUUAUUUGAUUAUUUAUUAUAAUAUACGAAGUCUCUUAUUUAUUUAUUUAUUUAUUUAUUUAUCCUAUUGCAAGAUAAGAAAAGCUGAACAGUUAAGAUUUCACAAUCUUGGGGCACCUGGGUGGCUCAGUAGGCGAAGCGUCCGACUUCGGCUCAGGUCACGAUCUCGCGGUCCGUGAGUUCGAGCCCCGCGUCGGGCUCUGUGCUGACAGCUCAGAGCCUGGAGCCUGUUUCAGAUUCUGUGUCUCCCUCUCUCUCUGACCCUCCCCCAUUCAUGCUCUGUCUCUCCCUGUCUCAAAAAUAAAUAAACGUUAAAAAACAAAAAUUAAAAAAAAAAGAUUUAACAAUCCAGUUAUUGGCCACUUUAGUUUGUUAAGUAGGCACAUGAAUGAACUAAAUCCCUCAUUAUUAUAAGGGUAGAAUGUUAAUUUCCAGUUCCUGCUCCAGGAACCAUUUUGAGCCAUUUUGUGAGCUUCCAGGGGAUAAGCAAACACUCAAAGUAGUCAUGUCAAAGUUGUCAAAUGUCUCUGAGCCACACAAACAACCUUGGCAUAGAACCUAUGCCAAAGUUACAUUCAACAAUGUGCACGCAUUAUAAUAAACCCAUUACUGAUCCAACCCUCUACAUCUCCAAGUACUGGCAUCUUUGCGCUCGAAAUGGGUUACCACCAAUCAUGAGCCUGGUCUGGUCUGCCUUUGACUUGGUUUCUCCUUUCCUGCUUGUGGCUCCUUGUUAGAACGCUGGAAUGGGGAAAUGGAGGUCAUCCUUUCCCUGCCCCCACAUCUGUAUCGGUGAAGAAUACAGAUGUGCACAUGACGAAGGGAGUUGAUGGUUGAGGGAGGAAGACACUGUGUUCAAAGCAUAAGUUCAAAGGUGUGUCCCUGAGAGAAAAAUGUUGAAACCCCGGUCCACACCCAUCUGUGACUCCUAAAGUCAACAUGGCUUCCAGACACAGAG
Long non-coding RNA from Leopardus geoffroyi (Geoffroy's cat), 5088 nucleotides. RefSeq lists it as uncharacterized. The transcript has 2 exons. The record is from RefSeq and is a predicted model, not a curated record. Lineage: Eukaryota; Metazoa; Chordata; Mammalia; Carnivora; Felidae.